Molecule: small RNA, 239 nt
Filed under: Octodon degus (degu)
Lineage: Eukaryota; Metazoa; Chordata; Mammalia; Rodentia; Octodontidae
Description: 7SK RNA (ENSODEG00000023113.1)
Rfam family: 7SK RNA (bases 1-183)
About the family: 7SK was discovered as an abundant small nuclear RNA in the mid-70s but a possible function has only recently been suggested. Two independent studies have found that 7SK RNA binds the CDK9/cyclin T complex (known as elongation factor P-TEFb). P-TEFb activates transcription by phosphorylating the C-terminal domain of RNA polymerase II.
Source: RNAcentral
GGUUGUGAGGGUGAUCUGGCUGUGGCAUCUGUCACUGCACUGAUCGCCAGGGUUGAUUUGGCUGAUCUGGCUGCCUAGUCAGGUGUCCUCUCGUCCCUCAACAAUCUAUGAGCCUCCCUCCCAAGCUGCACAUUCCAUAUAAGAGGUCAUCAAUCCCAAUAGCGGAGGACCUCUGCUAGAGCCCCCAAACAAGCUCUCAAAAAACUUGAUAAUUUUGAGCUAAAAGUCUGCUUCUUUUU